GGGCCGUUAGCUCAACUUGGUAGAGCAGCGGACUCUUAAUCCGCGGGUUGGAGGUUCAAGUCCUCCACGGCUCACCA
RNAcentral lists this transfer RNA (77 nucleotides) under Pseudomonadota bacterium. RNAcentral's name for it is "tRNA-Lys". It matches the Rfam family "tRNA". From Rfam's summary of the family: Transfer RNA (tRNA) molecules are approximately 80 nucleotides in length. RNAcentral also lists the same sequence under 2 other names. Lineage: Bacteria; Pseudomonadati; Pseudomonadota. The record is from RNAcentral.